RNAcentral lists this ribosomal RNA (1218 nucleotides) under uncultured archaeon. Its description in RNAcentral is "bacterial SSU rRNA". It matches the Rfam family "Archaeal small subunit ribosomal RNA", at positions 67 to 1277 of the family's 1478-position model. The record is from RNAcentral.
UAUGAUGGAGCGCGGCAUACGGCUCAGUAACAUGUGGUUAACCUACCCUCAGGAUGGGGACAACCCCGGGAAACUGGGACUAAUACCCAAUAGAUGGAAGCGCCUGGAAUGGUCUUCCAUCCAAAAGACGUUAGGGGCACGCUCCUUAACGCCGCCUGAGGAUGGGACCGCACCUGAUCAGGUAGUUGGUGGGGCAAUGGCCCACCAAGCCUAUAACCAGUACGGGCCCUGAGAGGGGUAGCCCGGAGAUGGGGACUGAGACAAGGCCCCAGGUCCUACGGGGCGCAGCAGGCGCGAAAACUCCACAAUAUGCGCAAGCAUGAUGGGUUACUCCGAGUGCCAUCCGCCGAGGAUGGCUUUUGUUCAGUUUAAGGAGCUGGAUGAAUAAGGGGAGGGCAAGACUGGUGUCAGCCGCCGCGGUAAUACCAGCUCCCCGAGUGGUGGGGACGAUUAUUUGGCCUAAAGCGUCCGUAACCGGCCAAGUAAGUCUUCGGUUAAAUUCGGUGAUUUAAUCAUCGAACUGCCGGAGAUACUGCUAGGCUAGGGGGCGGGAGAAGCCGACGGUAGUCUAGGGGUAGGGGUGAAAUCCUAUAAUCCCUGGAGGACCACCAGUGGCGAAGGCGGUCGGCUAGAACGCGCCCGACGGUGAGGGACGAAAGCUGGGGGAGCGAACCGGAUUAGAUACCCGGGUAGUCCCAGCUGUAAACGAUGCAGGCUAGGUGUUGGAACGGCUACGAGCCGUCCCAGUGCCGCAGGGAAGCUAUUAAGCCUGCCGCCUGGGGAGUACGGUCGCAAGGCUGAAACUUAAAGGAAUUGGCGGGGGAGCACCACAAGGGGUGAAGCCUGCGGUUUAAUUGGAGUCAACGCCGGAAAACUUACCGGGGGAGACAGCAGAAUGAAGGUCAGAUUAAAGGUCUUACCAGACAAGCUGAGAGGAGGCGCAUGGCCGUCGCCAGUUCGUGCCGUGAGGUGUCCUGUUAAGUCAGGCAACGAACAAGACCCCUACUCUUAGUUGCUACUAGGGAAACCUAGGCACACUAAGAGGACCGCCGUCGAUAAGGCGGAGGAAGGCAGGGGCCACGGCAGGUCAGUAUGCCCCGAAUCCUCCGGGCCACACGCGGGCUGCAAUGGCUGGGACAAUGGGCUCCAACCCCGAAAGGGGAAGGUAAUCUCGAAACCCAGCCGCAGUUGGAAUCGAGGGCUGAAACCCGCCCUCGU